GAUGAACGCUAGCUACAGGCUCAACACGUGCAAGUCGAGGGGCAUCAGGAAGAAAGCUUGCUUUCUUUGCUGGCGACCGGCGCACGGGUGAGUAACACGUAUCCAACCUGCUCUUUACUCGGGGAUAGCCUUUCGAAAGAAAGAUUAAUACCCGAUGGGAUAAUGAUUCCGCAUGGUUUGAUUAUUAAAGGAUUCCGGUAAAGGAUGGGGAUGCGUUCCAUUAGGUUGUUGGUGAGGUAACGGCUCACCAAGCCUUCGAUGGAUAGGGGUUCUGAGAGGAAGGUCCCCCACAUUGGAACUGAGACACGGUCCAAACUCCUACGGGAGGCAGCAGUGAGGAAUAUUGGUCAAUGGGCGCGAGCCUGAACCAGCCAAGUAGCGUGAAGGAUGACUGCCCUAUGGGUUGUAAACUUCUUUUAUAUUAGAAUAAAGUGCAGUAUGUAUACUGUUUUGUAUGUAUAAUAUGAAUAAGGAUCGGCUAACUCCGUGCCAGCAGCCGCCGUAA
This 505-nucleotide ribosomal RNA is filed under the name uncultured bacterium. RNAcentral's name for it is "partial 16S ribosomal RNA". It matches the Rfam family "Bacterial small subunit ribosomal RNA", at positions 28 to 523 of the family's 1533-position model. The record is from RNAcentral.